UCCACUACUCAGUUGGUAGAGCGCAAGGCUCUUAACCUUAUGGACGUGGAUUCAAAUCCCAUGGUGGAG
Molecule: transfer RNA, 69 nt
Filed under: Triticum aestivum (bread wheat)
Lineage: Eukaryota; Viridiplantae; Streptophyta; Magnoliopsida; Poales; Poaceae
Also listed under: 1 other name
Rfam family: tRNA
About the family: Transfer RNA (tRNA) molecules are approximately 80 nucleotides in length.
Source: Rfam by way of RNAcentral